AACGAACGCUGGCGGCAUGCCUAACACAUGCAAGUCGAACGAGACCUUCGGGUCUAGUGGCGCACGGGUGCGUAACGCGUGGGAACCUGCCCUUAGGUUCGGAAUCACUCCCCGAAAGGGGUGCUAAUACCGGAUAAUGUCUUCGGACCAAAGAUUUAUCGCCUUUGGAUGGGCCCGCGUUGGAUUAGCCAGUUGGUAGGGUAAAAGCCUACCAAGGCGACGAUCCAUAGCUGGUCUGAGAGGAUGAUCAGCCACACUGGGACUGAGACACGGCCCAGACUCCUACGGGAGGCAGCAGUGGGGAAUAUUGGACAAUGGGCGAAAGCCUGAUCCAGCAAUGCCGCGUGAGUGAUGAAGGCCUUAGGGUUGUAAAGCUCUUUUACCCGGGAUGAUAAUGACAGUACCGGGAGAAUAAGCUCCGGCUAACUCCGUG
Molecule: ribosomal RNA, 433 nt
Filed under: uncultured bacterium
Lineage: Bacteria
Description: partial 16S ribosomal RNA
Rfam family: Bacterial small subunit ribosomal RNA
Source: RNAcentral